Molecule: unclassified non-coding RNA, 353 nt
Filed under: Hevea brasiliensis (rubber tree)
Lineage: Eukaryota; Viridiplantae; Streptophyta; Magnoliopsida; Malpighiales; Euphorbiaceae
Source: RNAcentral
GGACAGUUCAUCAACUUGGUCAAAUCAUCAAUUGUAUUCAGCCCGAACACCCCACACCACAUCCGAAUGUCCAUUGCAACCUUGCUGCAAAUUUCAAACAUUGAUGUUCAUGAUAAAUUCUUGGGGUUUUCGGCAGAUAUUCCUCACUCUAAGCAUCAGGACUUUGAGUUCAUAAAAGGAAGAAUUGCCCAAAAAGUAGCGGGUUGAAAAGGAAAACUAUUAUCGAAGGGAGGUAAAGAGGUGCUUAUUAAGGCAGUUACAUCAGCAAUUCCUGUCUAUGCCAUGUCAUGCUUCAAAUUUCCAAGGUCUCUCUGUAAAAAAAUAAAUUAUAUUAUAUCCAAAUUUUGGUGGGG